UGUUGGCUGGAAUGAUGAUUCAAUUAGAUGUAUGAGGUAACCUUAUGAGUUAAAACCUUUUGAGGCAUAAAUUCUUUCUGACCCAGCCUAUC
Lolium rigidum is the source of this 92-nucleotide small nucleolar RNA. RefSeq annotates it as small nucleolar RNA Z266. The transcript has a single exon. The record is from RefSeq and is a predicted model, not a curated record. Lineage: Eukaryota; Viridiplantae; Streptophyta; Magnoliopsida; Poales; Poaceae.